UACGAAGGGGGCUAGCGUUGUUCGGAAUUACUGGGCGUAAAGGGCGCGUAGGCGGCGAAGCAAGUUAGGCGUGAAAGCCCCGGGCUCAACCUGGGAAUUGCGCUUGAUACUGCUUUGCUUGAGUUCGGGAGAGGUGAGUGGAAUUCCCAGUGUAGAGGUGAAAUUCGUAGAUAUUGGGAAGAACACCAGUGGCGAAGGCGGCUCACUGGACCGAUACUGACGCUGAGGCGCGAAAGCGUGGGGAG
RNAcentral lists this ribosomal RNA (245 nucleotides) under uncultured Oceanibaculum sp. RNAcentral describes it as "partial 16S ribosomal RNA". It matches the Rfam family "Bacterial small subunit ribosomal RNA", at positions 524 to 768 of the family's 1533-position model. The record is from RNAcentral. Lineage: Bacteria; Pseudomonadati; Pseudomonadota; Alphaproteobacteria; Rhodospirillales; Oceanibaculaceae.